UACGUAGGGGGGAAGCGUUGUCCGGAUUUACUGGGCGUAAAGAGCGUGUAGGCGGCCAAGCAGGUCCGUUGUGAAAACUGGAGGCUUAACCUCCAGACGUCGACGGAAACCGCGUGGCUAGAGUCCGGAAGAGGAGAGUGGAAUUCCUGGUGUAGCGGUGAAAUGCGCAGAUAUCAGGAAGAACACCAAUGGCGAAGGCAGCUCUCUGGGACGGUACUGACGCUGAGACGCGAAAGCGUGGGGAGCGAACAGG
RNAcentral lists this ribosomal RNA (253 nucleotides) under uncultured bacterium. Its description in RNAcentral is "partial 16S ribosomal RNA". It matches the Rfam family "Bacterial small subunit ribosomal RNA", at positions 524 to 776 of the family's 1533-position model. The record is from RNAcentral.